This 216-nucleotide ribosomal RNA is filed under the name Glomeromycotina sp. RNAcentral's name for it is "partial small subunit ribosomal RNA". The stretch from base 40 to 216 matches the Rfam family "Eukaryotic small subunit ribosomal RNA", at positions 686 to 864 of the family's 1831-position model. The record is from RNAcentral. Lineage: Eukaryota; Fungi; Glomeromycota.
GGGUCAGUAGGUUGGUCGUGCCACCGGUACGUACUGGUCUCACUGAUUCCUCCUUCCUGAAGAACCGUAAUGCCAUUAAUUUGGUGUUGCGGGGAAACAGGACUGUUACUUUGAAAGAAUUAGAGUGUUUAAAGCAAGCUAACGCUUGAAUACAUUAGCAUGGAAUAAUGAAAUAGGACGAUCGAUCCUAUUUUGUUGGUUUCUGGGAUUGACGUA